Molecule: long non-coding RNA, 6140 nt
Organism: Grus americana (Whooping crane)
Lineage: Eukaryota; Metazoa; Chordata; Aves; Gruiformes; Gruidae
Exons: 9
Source: RefSeq, a predicted model, not a curated record
CUUUAGCACAAUGCACACUCAGCAAUAUCACAGGGAAUUGAAGCUGACAGGACACGGAAAAGUUUCAGUUAUGACACAAGUGUUACCAACCUCAGACUGUUCAGGCAAUCUGUGUAAAUUCAAGUAUAAGGGCAGAACUGGUUGGAUGUGAGACUUGGGGGAUAAGAAGUAGGUGGCGCUCAAUUCUGCUUUUAAAAAGAGUAUCCUAAUUGCUCUGCAGGUGUAAGAGCUCCAUCUCCACUGCAGCUCCAUCGUGUGUGAAAUAGCCUCGCCGUGUGUGCCUGCACGGUCGCCUCUGAGCUGUGGGAUGAAAACUUUGGAGCCAGCUCUGCAGUUCCACUCCCAGCUUUGGAUCUGCCCAUGCUACGUUCUAGCUGUACGACAGCCCUUUGUACAAGGGCAGAUAACUUCUCAAAUUAUGCAUCCAUGAAAACAAGUAAAAGAUGGGUUAUUUUUCAACUGGAUCAGUUAAGAAAAAGCCAAUGGCAGUGCAGAUGGUGAUGACAGCUCAUACAGGAAUGCUGCUAGAUUUCUAACCAUUGCCUUGAAACACUGAUUUCAAACUUCAGUGCUGUAAUGACACCAUAAAUGAAGGUUGAAGAAUCCAAACCAAAACCUAUUUCCCAGCUCUGGAAUCCCCACUAUUGAUAGAAGAUGAUUCUGCAUAAAGAAUACAGGUUUCUUCAGCCAUCCUUCUUUUCUAAAUCAGAGAUGAAAGGUACAGGUGGAAUGUCAAAUGCCUAAUUGUCAUAAAGCUAAAUAUUUGUUCAUGUGCUUAAGAUGCAAUAAAUCCUGGAGAGCGCUCUGCUUACACAAGAGGAUUUCAGCAUAGAGGCAUGCUCUAGAAAGGUGUUUGUGUAGGAGAGAGAGAAAUUCUGCAGGGUAAAGUCACUGAAUGAAAACCAGGUGUAUUUGGUGGGCAGUUAUUCUCUGAAGUUCACUGACAGAGGAACCCACGUAUGGAAGAGGAAACAAUAGAAGUACAGCGUCAUGACAGCAGCAGACACCAAUUCACUGGAGAUGGCAGAUGGACAGAACGCAAGUAGUUAUGGUUAAAAUUUAGUGAUUCUCAAUAAUAGCUGUCCCAGUGUGGGGAGGACCUGGAGAAUACCCAUGAGUGCUCUCGUGAACUGUGGUUAGCUCAACAGAGGCCUCUGCUGAGCAAAUAGUAACUGUCUGAGACAAGCUCAAAACCAGGCCGAGCAUCUCACCUUUAUAUACCCUUGUUAGGACCAUAUAGUAACCCUCUCACAGGCAACAUUGGGAGGACAGAAAAUUCCAUAUGGACAGGUAAGUGUGAAUAGAUCUAUCUUAUUUCUAAGGGGAAAAAAAUCAAGAGUUAUGCCUUAUGAAAUAAGAAUAUUCACAUAUGUUUUGCAAUUAGAGAACAUAUCUAUUUUUCCAUAAUUUUCUUUCUUAAAGGUUCAAAAGUCAUUUGAGCAAUUGUACCAGAGAGACUGAAAGUAUACCUUUGAAUCAUUUCAAACUGUUUUCUAUCUUUGUUUAACUGAAUUUACCACAUUGAAACUGAGUCAAACCAUUGAUUUAUCAGAAGUACUUUAUUCUUCACUCUAGAUCUGUGCAGAUCUAAGCUAUAAACAAGGAAAGCAGUGAAAAAUUGCAUUUGUAAAUAUUUUAGAGAAGACUGCUGUUCUGUGGAGCUUUAUGCUGUUUUCUCUGGUGCUAUCGAGUGCUUUGUAGAAGCUCAUUUGGGAAAUGUAUUCUUUGAUUUUGGUAAUCAAUUGAUGAACAUUUGAAGCUUUGCUCAGACACACAGUUAUUGUGAAGAGCAGUACUUUCAAGUAUCCAUUUGAUUGUGUUUGUGAUGCCUGCUUUAUUCGACUCUGCUCCAGGCAAAUUAAAAUGUACUGCUAUGUAAUAAGUAUGGGAAGGUUAGCAUUCACACUUUAGGGAUAAAACAUUUUGACAGUUCUAUUCUACAUUUGCAUUUAAAAAUUGUAACGCUUUUAAUUAGACCCUAUGUUUAUUGUAGGAUCUCUUGUAGGCAUUACUACUGUGAGAUUGUUACCUUUCAGGAUUUGUUCUGGACUGCUUGUCUGUGGGGAAGCACAAAGCCUGCUGGUUCCACAUACAUUUUGUUUUCUGGUCCAUGGUAUGUCUCAUUUUCUUUAAUUUAUCAUGGGGCUCCACCUGUACCACUACUGCUGAGUCAUUUGCGUUUGUUUCUGAGACUUUUUAAUGUGCAGAGUUAGGGAGGUACAUAUGCAUAGUUCUGUCUUACAUGCCUGGUAUAUUUUGCAAUGGGCCUCUAAAUUCUCAGGUUUUGGUGCACAGUAGAAUCCCCAAGGGGACAAAGGAAGACAUUGUCUGGAGAGAGACAGGAGAUACUGCCAUGAUACCCAUUAUCUUUUUAGCCAGUGGACAGGUGAUGCUUAUGCACAGCAUAUGCACAGACAAUGGUCAACAUUCUGAGCUCAUGAAAGCGAUCACUGACAAAGGCUGAUGUCUGAAGGACUGGUCACUAAAACUGUCCAUAUUAUUUGCUCCUCUUUUAUUUUAUCCUUCAUCUUUCUGUAUUGGUAAUGUCCAGGAGGGAUUCGAGUAACCUGAUAUAACAUCUGCAACAUUGCUAUCACCAAGAAAACAUUCAUUGAGAUAAUCAGGCAAAUGUACACUGUCUCAAGAGGCUUGUGUGUAAAUUAGACCAAGCAAUCAAAAAAACCCCCAAAACUAACAAACUGGCUAGAUGCUUCUGACUUUUCAGAAGAGCAGAGAGAAGCAAGAAAACAUUGUAGGUUUUACCAGGAAAUUGUAUUUGAGCUGAAAUAAGGUCUUCUCCCUGAUAGUUUAGCCAGUCCCUAGAGAUUUUGAGUAAUUAUUAUUACAUUUGCCUUGGGAAGGAUAUGGUCUUAGUUGGUACCAGAAAUCUUGUGCAGAGAAUUCUCCAGGAGCUCCUUCCUGCAUUAGGCCCCAUUACUCUGUCUCCACAGCCCAGGAAACUCAAACACCCUCAUAGACUAGGGUGAGCUGCUCUUUUCUGUACCUUCCUUCACUUCUGGGAGCUGUUUCUUCUGACUCAGCAAUAAAUAGCAGAGAAGGGAAGUACUCUGGGAAUUCAGAUAUAUGAUGUGUACAAAGUCAUGCUUUCUGAUUGUGAAGGGGACCACAAGUAAAUCCUCCCUGUGCACCCAGAUUGGAUCUUGCAUUGAAAAACAUCAAAAUCUGAAUUAUACAGAGGCUAUGCGGCACUAUGGGUAAGUGCAUUGGCCUUUCAUGUCUUAUUAUGUUGUUAAUUAGUUAAUGUUUGUAAAGCACUUUGAAGAUGAAAAGCCCUAUAUAAGUUCUAAGUGUUAUUAUCUCUAGAGACCUGGGUUCAAUUCAAAGGUGCUUAAUUACAUAUGCCAUAAAUUAGACUUAAUGAGUUGUGGAAUCAUAUGCUUUAUGUGAUGCAUGCAGGUUUCUCAGCUAGAUCCAGGCCUUAUGGUCUGCUGCAGUACUACUUUAGGUAUUCAGAGCUGUUAAGAGAAAUUACACAAAAGUAGAGCUGAUAAUUUCUAAAAAUAAUUGGAUUGCAUUUCAGUACUAUUUAGGACUUGGUAAAGCGAAUUACCAGGAGCUUUGUUCUGUUUUAUCUAGGGAUUUUCCAGUGCCCAACUUCAAAUUGCUGAAGGUAACGUUAUUGUUUUUAAAUUGUGGUAGAGACAUAAUUCUAAUUCUUUCUUCUGUUCCAUAUUUUGGCUUAUCAGAAGGGAGCCGAGAGGUGUGCUGUCCUUCCCGUAAUGCCCCGAAAUGUCCCAGCAGGGCUGGGAACCUCUUGGUGGUGGGUUAUGUUCACAAGGAUGAGAAAAGAAGUUCCCAUCUCUAGAGAUACUAUCAUAUAAUUUACAACAAGCCAUUACAAGUGGGUAACGUGCAAAAAGGGGAAGUAACAGUUAUAGGAAAAUGUGGUUUCAUUGGCUUUGCAGAGCCGAGAGUUUCCAUGUUAUGUAACAUAUAUUUUGUGGCCAGAAAGCUACAGAAUUUGCCCUGCUGAAGCCCGGGCACCGGGGCGGCUGUCCGGCAGUGAGCGCAGCCAGCUUCUCAUGGCUGUUCCUCAAUCAGCAGAGACACACAGAAAACCGGCAGGAUUGUUCACCUGGCCUAACGGGGCUCCGUGUGUUCCCACAGCAGAAUAUCUCCAUUUUACCCUGGGCCUUUCACAGGCAUAUAGAGAGAGGCAGGAUUUAUCCUGCCUAUAAAUAUGUUAGAAGUGAUUGUGUUCAUUAGUACACCCUAAGUAGAUUGGAAAAACUAAUUAAUAGCAAUUUACUAUAAGUGUCUCUAACAGACUUGCUCCAAAGUAUUUAUCCUGAAGUGAAAGUUAUUUGAUUUUGUUAAUGUUUAUUGUAAGCAUAUGCAGACUAUCUUCCAGGGGAAAAUGUAUUUUUGAGUGCUCCAGACGAUUGAAACUAGUGAGCCCACUGUCUGGAGAAAGCAUCUGUAACCACAGCCAAAAGAGGAACGAGAUUUCCGACAUUCUUUCAAGACAUGUGUUUGAAGCAUGGGUUCCCAUCACUUUCAGAGUGACUUGCAGGCCAUUUUCUUUAUAUAGAUUUAGACAAGUCAAUGUGGUCCUGGAUUCAUCUUGAUGAAUGCCUUUGUGAUUUCUCCCUCAUCCAUUUUCUCCUGUGAUAUUUUAUUGCUUAUAUUGAAUAGGAGUAUGUUCUCAGGAAACUUUAAAUGGGAUGAAGCAUGGUUUCGGACUUUUUUUAUCACUCACAUUUCUGUAUUCCUAAGAAAUAGAUCUAGUCCUAAUUACUGGGGUGCAUCUCCUUCAAAAACAAGAUACAGUUUUGCUGAAUACUUUUCAUAUAAUCUAAUAAAUAGGAACUUCACAUGAAUGCUGAUUUGAGCUCCAGACUGUGGUUAAACGUUUUAAUGGUGUAGCAAACUUAUCAACAAACCUUUCCUUCCCCACCCUACCCCCUUCCCUUUUUAUAAUGAACAGAUUUUUAUCCGACUGGCUUGUGACUUGGGGAUUUUUACAAGUAGGUUUGGGAACUUGUGAAAUAUUUUAAAAUUUGAGUCUGAAAACAAAACAAAAGAUCUUUUAAAAAUGGUAUUUUAUACAGUGUGUAUAUCAACUGGGUAAAAUUUUGAUUUGCUGAAGGAUUCUAUUCUCUGACCUAACUAUCACUACUUAGCUAGAAGUUACCAGUCUGAUUCCUUUUUUUAAUACUCCAAGACACCGUAUAUAGUAGUGUAACUCCACUGAGGUACCGAAUCAAUGGACCUCUAAGAUCCUCUUCAUUUCUGAUCUACUACAGCCUUUUGUCAAAAGGCGAUAAGAAUAUUCAUGUUGUUAUUAUUUCAUAUGGGCAUUUUAGGUCUGCCUCUUUUCCUUCUCUGUUUCCAAGAUGUUAGUGACUGACAUACUCCAGCAAUGAUAUCACUAGUGCUUAACCAUCAGCGAAGAAGCUAUCUGAGCAAAUGAGAAAGCUGUAAGCUCUAGCAGCUGUGCCGCACUGCCCGUUACAGAGACAUCAGGCAGGAGGAACAACUGUACGUUGUGAGAGCGCUUUUUUACAGCCAGGCCUCCAACCCUGACCAAGUGUGCUAAUGGCUGAUAAGGCCGCUCUUUGAGAAAACAAUUAAUGGGUUACAAGAGGCAUUAAAUGUGCGUGGAGAAACAUCUUGGUGAGUUAAUAUCCAGUAAAGAACUCGGGUCACUUGGUGGUUGUGUUGGUGACCCAGUUAGGAUUUUUACAAAAACAGUCACCGUCCUUUGACUUGUGACUUCCACAGUCAUUUUCCUAUUUUAAGUCCCUAAUUCAACAAAGCACUGAUCUGUCUCUCCCGGAAAGUCUUUGACCACGGAAGCUCUGCUCAUGAAGUCUGGAAGACUUCUGGAUCGUUACUGCCUCCAGCCUCUUCUCCCUGUCUGCAAGCAAGGGGUUAUCACAGGUCAGCUGCAGAACGGAAAGCGCGGCAGUAAAUUGUGGGUGGACCUGUGGAUUUUGUUUCAGCAGACCUGAAAAGUUUACUGCUGCACGAUUCUUGAAUUUCUUUCUCUCUACAGUCAAGAUGUGGUGCAGAAAGGAAGAAAAUCACACACAAAAUGAAAAAAAAAAUAUUAAAAAAGGUUAGCUCGUUGAUUGAACUGUUGGUCUUAGCAGGGGAAGGGUGAGAAGCAUACAGGG